UACGGAGGGUGCGAGCGUUGUCCGGAAUUAUUGGGCGUAAAGGGCUCGUAGGCGGUUGGUCACGUCGGGAGUGAAAACUCAGGGCUCAACCCUGAGCGUGCUUCCGAUACGGGCCGACUAGAGGUAUGCAGGGGAGAACGGAAUUCCUGGUGUAGCGGUGGAAUGCGCAGAUAUCAGGAGGAACACCGGUGGCGAAGGCGGUUCUCUGGGCAUUACCUGACGCUGAGGAGCGAAAGCAUGGGGAGCGAACAGG
RNAcentral lists this ribosomal RNA (253 nucleotides) under uncultured bacterium. Its description in RNAcentral is "partial 16S ribosomal RNA". It matches the Rfam family "Bacterial small subunit ribosomal RNA", at positions 524 to 776 of the family's 1533-position model. The record is from RNAcentral.